GGGAAGUGUACACGUUCGUGUGUCGCAGACCAUCGAGCCGAUUUUGAAAGGAUCUUUUUCAUAGCCUACGCUUGCCCUACGUGGCCAAACGAAAAGGCCUUUUUUGACAAAGGAAAUAUUAAGUUUUUCCCUCCUUCCCAAGUUCAACGGGGGUCAUGAAGUUGACCCCGUUGAGAAGACGUGACCGAUGACGUCGGGGAGGAUCCCAGAAGAAUCCUUCAGGCAGUACACGCAGCGAACGCUGGGCUCGUUCGUGCCUUACACUGCAGAGGGGACAAAUAUAUCUUGGGUGACACCGAUCUUGGAAUCUUUACUGACACACUUCGUAUGUUGUAUUUUUUGUUGGUGUUCUUUUUGACCAAUGAGAUUUCAGCCUCCGCGUCGCCGUGUCCUUCUCAUCUGCCCUUCGGAAUCAGUAGCGCCGGCCAAACUUUAAAAGCAAGGGGCACUGCUUCUCAAACUAAUGACAUUUCAAAUUCGCCUCAGAGCGCCAGCACACAUGUAAUAAUCAGCCUCUCUGUAGCGUUUUUGGAGCCUGGAUGGCACUUUGCACCCUGCCGCCAAUGUCCCCACCACUGCCUGCCAACCCACCUAGGACCGCCUCCAUUACCUUUCCUAAAUAAACUGUUCACUAUAAUCUAUCUGCCUCCGCCUGCUCUUGGGUCCAGCUCCUCUCCAUACGUGACAGAAUACUUCGGCCAUGAUGGACCCAGCGACCCCGGAGGCGCUUAAGAACGCACUCACCAUCCAAGGCGCCCGCACAGGAAGACAAGAAAAGACUCUCCAAGAAAUGAUGGAAUCCCUACACUCCCUCACGCAACAAGUAUCCCUCCUUCCCUCGAAGAUGGAAUCCGACCUCCCUCUGAGCCUGGUCAUUUUAGUUCCUCUUGCCCCCUCUGGCCAAAAGGCCAGGCUCGCCGCGAACCGAGAGCGUCGUAGUAAGCCAAACCUCCAUUCCCUUUAGCUCUCCCUCCCGUACGACCGUUCCCGCUCGCAUCAUAGUUUCUACUCAUAACACCCCCAUUGACUGCCCUUAUUGAUUCCGGUGCCGAUGACAAUUUUAUUCAUGAAGAUAUAAUUCACCGGCUCCGAAUCCCUCUCCAACCACUUCCGUCCCCGAAUAAUGUCACAGACCUGGAUGGCCGAGAGCCGAGCCAUCGCCGACUGGCCCAUCCCCAUUACCCGGAACUAACUGCAACGCUCCCGCGGAUUUUCCAACUUCUACCGUCAAUUUAUCCGCGACUACAGCAAGGUCGCAAUCCCCCUCGCCAGCCUCACAUCGAUCAGCUCCCCCUUUCGGUGGACCCCAGCAGCCUCUCCGGCAUUCAGUAAACUCAAAUCCCUGCUCACCAAUGCUCUCACUCUGCGCCUCCCUCCAGUUCGUGGUGGAGGUUGACGCCUCGGACUCUGGAGCUGGAGCUGUCCUCUCGCAGCGGGACCCCUCGACCGAGAAACUACACCCCUGUGCUCGCCGCCUAUCCCCUGCGGAGAGGAAAUAUGAUAUGAAAUAUGACGUGAGCUGCUGGCCAUAAUAUGGUCCCUGGAGGAGUGGAGGCACGGGCUGGAGGGGACUGAACAGCCAUUUCUCCUUUGGACCGACCACAAAAACCUCACUUACCUCCGUUCUGCUAAACGUCUCAACCCCCGACAGGCUCGCUGGGCACUAUUGCUGAGCAGGUUCAAUUUCAGUCUCUCCUUCCGCAUGCAACCCCUGCUCGUGGAUCGAAGACGCUCACAACUCCCUCACCAGCUCCGCUACCGCUAUGUCGCCGUUCAUGGCUUGCCACGGUUACCGACCCCCAUUAUUCAAAGAACGGGAGCGGGCAGUGGCAGUCCCCGCCAUUCAAGAUCACCUCCAGCGAGUCCAGGCGGUGUGGAAGGACGUCCGGGCGGCCGCACGCAAUAAACAGCUCGCGGACCGUCAUCGCACCCCGACGCUCGAAUACAAGCCUGUCCCCACCUGCGCCCCGAAACCUCCGGCCGGGAGGCGAAUCCGCAGAGACGGGGGUACUGUCAUGAACUGCUCUGCAGUACCAUUAUUGGAGCCUGGAGGUCGCUUUGCGCCCUCUCGCCCUCUCUCUCUCCCCUCCCUUUCUCUUUUCAGCACCUUCCGCAAUCCGCGCACCUGUCUCCAAUCAGCCCUCGUCACCACCGACGUAUAAGCCUGCCUGUUUCCGGAAAUCCACGGCAAAGUACCGCGUCUCAUUCCAGCGGUACCACCGGCCCACUUACCUCACGUAAGCCACACUGUUCCUUGUUUCCCUUUUUGACUCCCGUGUCUCUCCUCGUUCCGAGUGUUUCCCCCGUGUUCCUGAUCCUCGUCGUUCCUGCCGCCUGUCCACGCCGCUGCCCGCCAACACAUCCAGGACCACCUCCAUCACCUUCCUCAAUAAACUGUUCAUCACUA
Long non-coding RNA from Phycodurus eques (leafy seadragon), 2407 nucleotides. RefSeq lists it as uncharacterized. Lineage: Eukaryota; Metazoa; Chordata; Actinopteri; Syngnathiformes; Syngnathidae. The record is from RefSeq and is a predicted model, not a curated record. The transcript is spliced from 3 exons.